Molecule: non-coding RNA, 2243 nt
Organism: Musa acuminata subsp. malaccensis (wild Malaysian banana)
Lineage: Eukaryota; Viridiplantae; Streptophyta; Magnoliopsida; Zingiberales; Musaceae
Source: RefSeq, a predicted model, not a curated record
UUAGCUGGGGCCUUCUCUCUCUCUCUCUCUCUCUCGGCUCUGUUUCCCACUUGUCAUUGUCUUCUGAUUUCCGAUUUGAUUGGGUUCGUCUGCCGAGGAGUAUUUUUAUUUGAAGAUUUUUUCCUUCAAUUUUCUCUUUGACCGAAUCUUCAGUUGUUCGAUCGGAAAUGGACUGGACGAGUGAUAACGAAGUUAACGAGGAGUUCGAGUGGGACAGCGACGACGAGCCGACGGCUGCAGCGAAUCCUCCUACUCUGCCUUCUGAAGACAUUCUUGGUCCAUCCAACAAGGCUUGUGAUGCUGGUCCUUCUCGCCCUGCGCUGGCUUCUCACUUUAUGGGGAUGGGAUUUUCUGAAGAUAUGGUGUUGAAAGCCAUCAAGGAAAACGGAGAAGGAGAUUCUGAAGCUAUACUAGAAACACUGCUUACAUAUGCGGCUAUAGAAAAAUCACCUGGAAAGCUUGAUCAUUCUCCUAGUGAUUGUUCUUUAGCAAGCUGGGGAAACAACUUGGAUGAUGAUGAUGAUCUAUGUGAUGUUGAUGACUUUGAAGAUGAGGAGUUCAAUAUGGAUCUUUCUGCAGAAGAUAAGAAGUUGUUGACCCUAGUGGAGAUGGGGUUUUCCACCAAAGAGGCAUCUGCAGCCAUUCAUAGAUGUGGUCCAAAUUCUUCUAUUUUGGAGCUAGCAGAUUCCAUACAUGCUGCUGAGAUAGCGGAAAAAUUUGAGAGUCAUUUGGAAGAAUCAACUUACACCAAAGAUGAGCCUGGAAAUUAUAUUUAUGGUUGUUCAAGAGGUAAGAAAAGGGGGCUUGCAGAGGAAACAAGCAGCAAAAAAAGACGUUUUUUAACUGAGAAUGAGUCUUCUAUGAUCUCUAUUCCCAAGCCAAUGGUUGGAUAUGGCAUUCCAAAUCAAAGAAUGCCUAAAAUAUGCAGAAAGCUACCUGAGUCAGCCAUUGGUCCACCAUAUUUUUACUAUGAGAAUGUGGCCCUGGCACCAAAAGGAGUGUGGGAAACUAUCUCACGCUUCUUAUAUGACAUUGAGCCAGAAUUUGUGGAUUCGAAGUACUUCUGUGCUGCUGCAAGGAAAAGGGCGUAUGUUCACAACCUCCCCAUCCAUGACAGAUUUCCUCUUCUUCCGAUUCCUCCAAAAACCAUCCAUGAAGCACUCCCAUUAACAAGAAAGUGGUGGCCUUCCUGGGAUACCAGGACACAGUUUAACUGCUUGCAAACUUGCAUUGCUAGUGCAAAACUAACAGAGAGAAUCAGGAAAGAGCUUGAAAAUUAUGAUGACAUACCAUCUUUAAAGACACAACAGUAUGUUCUUAAUGAAUGUCGAAAAUGGAAUUUAGUUUGGGUGGGACAACAUAAAGUUGCUCCACUAGAACCAGAUGAAAUUGAAAUGCUUCUAGGAUUUCCUAGAGAUCACACAAGAGGGGGUGGUAUUAGCAGGACUGAAAGAUACCGAUCUCUUGGGAAUUCAUUUCAAGUAGAUACAGUGGCUUACCAUUUGUCAGUUCUGAAGGAUAUGUUUCCAAAUGGUAUAACACUUCUCUCACUGUUUUCCGGUAUUGGGGGAGCUGAAGUUGCUCUCCACCGGUUGGGAAUACAUCUGAAGACAGUUGUUUCUGUGGAAAUUUCAGAAGUAAAUAGAAAUUUACUAAAAAGUUGGUGGGUGCAGACAAACCAAACAGGGACUUUGAUUGAGCUUGUUGAUGUCCAACAGCUUAGCAGUGAUAAGAUUGAGCAGUUCAUCAGCACUUUUGGUGGUUUUGAUUUGGUAGUUGGUGGCAGUCCUUGUAAUAACCUCACAGGAAGCAACCGUCACCAUCGAGAUGGGCUUGAGGAAUUGUCCAUUCUCAGGUUCAUUCCCAUCAGGAAUGGGAUCAUAUUCUCAGCAAAAGCUGCAUCCUAUAGUUUGAUGUUAAAUUUUGUUGCCUCUAUAGUUACCACCAGGUGGGUGAUAAUAUUUGUCCGUGCCGAGAAUGUUGCUUGAUAAUAUUGUCUUUUUCAUCUGGAUUUCAGGACCCAGCUGGCAGAUUGUGUUGUUUUGUGGGUUUCAUGGAUUUGGUGCUGCCCACCAUGAACACAAGGUUGCCUUGUUUCAGCCAAAUGAUCGAGAUGUUAUCUUAUGCUACGUACCCAAACUCACUGGCAGCAGUAUCGGCCUUAUUUUGCGGGAAGAUAUAUGUACAGCUAAUCGAGGAAGCGAGCAAAGGCGGCCACUCGUAAGCGACUCCAUCGGAAAAGG